AUUGAACGCUGGCGGCAGGCCUAACACAUGCAAGUCGAACGGUAACAGAAAGCAGCUUGCUGCUUUGCUGACGAGUGGCGGACGGGUGAGUAAUGUCUGGGAAACUGCCUGAUGGAGGGGGAUAACUACUGGAAACGGUAGCUAAUACCGCAUAACGUCGCAAGACCAAAGAGGGGGACCUUCGGGCCUCUUGCCAUCGGAUGUGCCCAGAUGGGAUUAGCUAGUAGGUGGGGUAACGGCUCACCUAGGCGACGAUCCCUAGCUGGUCUGAGAGGAUGACCAGCCACACUGGAACUGAGACACGGUCCAGACUCCUACGGGAGGCAGCAGUGGGGAAUAUUGCACAAUGGGCGCAAGCCUGAUGCAGCCAUGCCGCGUGUAUGAAGAAGGCCUUC
Molecule: ribosomal RNA, 395 nt
Filed under: uncultured bacterium
Lineage: Bacteria
Description: bacterial SSU rRNA
Rfam family: Bacterial small subunit ribosomal RNA
Source: RNAcentral